RNAcentral lists this ribosomal RNA (141 nucleotides) under uncultured eukaryote. RNAcentral describes it as "partial 18S ribosomal RNA". It matches the Rfam family "Eukaryotic small subunit ribosomal RNA", at positions 1299 to 1458 of the family's 1831-position model. The record is from RNAcentral.
UGGUGGAGUGAUUUGUCUGGUUAAUUCCGUUAACGAACGAGACCCCUGCCUGCUAAAUAGUCCGGGUAGUGUUUUUCACUGCUUGGGGCUUCUUAGAGGGACGUGCAUUCGACUAGUUGCAGGAAGAUAGGGGCAAUAACA